CCCCAACCAAACCCCUCAACCCCCACCGUUUACAUCCACCUCUAAUAUUCUCCUAUCUACUGCCACCACCUCACCACCACCAUCUCCGCCGCUGUCUCUCCAUUUCUUCAGUGUGUGUCUGUGUGUUUUUUCUUUCUUUCCCUAUAGACUCUGUUUGAUUAUGUACUCUUCUGUUUUAAAAGCUUACUAUCUUUGUUUUUAAUCUUAUCCAUUUCUUCCAAACUUCCCUUUUUUCUUUUCUUUAACUUAGCUUACUCUAAAACAACUCUUACACAAAAUUCUAUACCUUCACAAAUUUUCUUACUACUUCAAGUUAUUCCCUUUUGAUUUUUUCUUUUUCUGUAUUUCUACAUGUGAAUUAUCUUGAAUUCUAGCUUCAUACUUAAUGGGGUUUUUUUCCUUUCUUUACUAGUAGGAUUUAUGUGAAAAUCUUGAAUUUUUAAGUUUCUCUGAAUUUUAUCUACAGUUCUUUAGCUAUUUAAAUUAGCUCUAAAUGAACCAUCUUUGUUCCUAAAUUAAGGUCUUAAGUAUAGUAUAGUGUUGUCUUUUUUUUUAAUAUUUUAAGGGAAGAGAGUUAGGGAGAAAAAAAAAGGAAUUAAAAUG
This 603-nucleotide long non-coding RNA is filed under the name Nicotiana tabacum (common tobacco). Its description in RNAcentral is "long non-coding RNA (NTAB_LNC005726)". Lineage: Eukaryota; Viridiplantae; Streptophyta; Magnoliopsida; Solanales; Solanaceae. The record is from RNAcentral.